Pongo pygmaeus (Bornean orangutan) is the source of this 356-nucleotide long non-coding RNA. RefSeq lists it as uncharacterized. The transcript is spliced from 3 exons. NCBI's taxonomy places the organism in Eukaryota, Metazoa, Chordata, Mammalia, Primates, Hominidae. The record is from RefSeq and is a predicted model, not a curated record.
AAAUCACCAAGCAAGAGAACAGGAUGGAGAAUAACCAGACGGGAGCAAUCGGAGGUGCUAUUUCAGGAGCUGGCUAUUCUUCAAGUCAGAAGGCCUGAGAGAGGAGCUGCCCAGGUGGUCUUCAUGGGGCUGUGCGGCCAGCCAACCCCAACAGGAAGGCCCAUUCCUGAGUGAUGCCAGACAUAUCCCCAUUGACCUCCACACCAUCCUGCAUUGAGUGGGAGCAUCUCUUUUAUCUCUGCAAGGCCUCUCCAUUACCCACAGGCUGGCAAGCUCUCCUCCUGAGAAGUUUCCUAAAGCAGAUGCUUCAUAGAAGCAGGAAAGGAGAAAAGGAAGAAGAAAGGGAGGGGAAGCUA